UGAAUUAAAGGAACAGUUUAUUUAUAGGUAAUAUCCACAUUUGAUUCACUUGUAUUCCAUUCAGUAUCCAUCAUAUUUGUUUUCCAUUUAAUAUAUAUUCCUCCCACAUAGAGUCACACACACAGAGUACAUGUUAAACAAGUAUUUAAUUUGUAGCUGCAAUAGACAUAUGUUACAAGGUAUAAAGCAAAUAGUGCACAAUAUGCUAAACUAUUAUUUUAGAGGUGAAGGAAGAGAAAUAUUUAAGUUAUCUAAUGUCAGUAAAUGACGCACACCCAGUGUUUCCAUAUUAUAUUCCAUUUGUUAUAUUUUGGGAGUUUCCUUGUAAAGCCGUAUAAAUACAAGUCCAUCUGUUCCUACCGGGGCUGAAAAAACAUGCACAUCAUAAUAAAUGAAGGCUCAAAUCGAGAUACACUUCAUGUGAAAUGAUCUCUUUCUAUUCAGAGCUCUAUCUGGCAACCUCUCUAAUUUACCUACAGUCUAUAUAUCAACGAGAGUUAUGAAAUGUUGGUAAAUACCUAGGAAACUACACAUUUCCAAGUAACACACUGACUGCUGAGAGAAGUCCAUCAGUGAGGAUAGAAGGGUAAAAGGGACAUUCCACAGCCCCUGUCUCCUCUGGGGUGUGGGGAUCUGAUGGAUGAGCCAGCAGCUGGGGAUUAAGCAAUCCAUGACGAGCAAGAAGGCUAUCCCAACAUAUCAGCAUCUUGUCACACAUGUGCCUCCACCUCGCAUAUCUCGCAUCCGCUCUUACACACCUCAGGCUUAGCUGCCAGUAUUACACGUUUCUCCCUUUUCAGCCCACUCAAAUCAUCACUGAGCUCUGCCGUCAUUUGUUUCAAGCACAGUACCACGAAAGCCGCUCCUGCCCUCCUCCUCCUGAAAUGCUGGACAGCGACAUGUCUUGGUGGUGAAGUGACGUGCUGGAUGGAGGCUCAGCGAGUCAGGGCUUGGGUCCAGGAGACCAGGAAGCAUUUCAGGGUGGACACACUGCCUUCUUCUGCACGCUGCUGUUAUGUCCCCCCACAGACGCUGUGCUUCAAGGGAAAUAGUCUUGUAGCUAUAGAAGAUGCAUAAAGGGAAAUAAAAGCAAAGGAAGAAAGACUGCUAAGAAAGCAGGAGGGAGGAGGAGGAGGAGAAGGCAGGGCAGUGAUCAGUAACCAAUCCGAGCUGCCCCAAUGAGCUGCAGCAGCACAGCAGACAAGCACAG
This is a non-coding RNA of Pelobates cultripes (western spadefoot toad), 1210 nucleotides long. The record is from the annotation of a GenBank genome assembly. NCBI's taxonomy places the organism in Eukaryota, Metazoa, Chordata, Amphibia, Anura, Pelobatidae.